GUGGGGAAUAUUGGGCAAUGGGGGAAACCCUGACCCAGCAACGCCGCGUGAAGGAAGAAGGCUUUCGGGUUGUAAACUUCUUUUAUGAGGGACGAAGAAGUGACGGUACCUCAUGAAUAAGCCACGGCUAACUACGUGCCAGCAGCCGCGGUAAUACGUAGGUGGCAAGCGUUGUCCGGAUUUACUGGGUGUAAAGGGCGCGUAGGCGGGAUAGCAAGUCAGGUGUGAAAUCCGGGGGCUUAACCCUCGAACUGCACUUGAAACUGUUAUUCUUGAGUGAUGGAGAGGCAAGCGGAAUUCCUAGUGUAGCGGUGAAAUGCGUAGAUAUUGGGAGGAACACCAGUGGCGAAGGCGCCUUUCUGGACUGUGUCUGACGCUGAGAUGCGAAAGCCAGGGUAGCGAACGGGAUUAGAAACCCGUGUAGUCC
RNAcentral lists this ribosomal RNA (427 nucleotides) under uncultured bacterium. RNAcentral describes it as "partial 16S ribosomal RNA". It matches the Rfam family "Bacterial small subunit ribosomal RNA", at positions 354 to 796 of the family's 1533-position model. The record is from RNAcentral.